This 486-nucleotide ribosomal RNA is filed under the name uncultured bacterium. RNAcentral's name for it is "bacterial SSU rRNA". It matches the Rfam family "Bacterial small subunit ribosomal RNA", at positions 28 to 526 of the family's 1533-position model. The record is from RNAcentral.
GACGAACGCUGGCGGCGUGCUUAACACAUGCAAGUCGAACGGAAAGGCCUCUUUCGGGGGGUACUCGAGUGGCGAACGGGUGAGUAACACGUGAGUAACCUGCCCUUGACUUUGGGAUAACUUCAGGAAACUGGGGCUAAUACCGGAUAGGAGCUCCUGCUGCAUGGUGGGGGUUGGAAAGUUUCGGCGGUUGGGGAUGGACUCGCGGCUUAUCAGCUUGUUGGUGGGGUAGUGGCUUACCAAGGCUUUGACGGGUAGCCGGCCUGAGAGGGUGACCGGCCACAUUGGGACUGAGAUACGGCCCAGACUCCUACGGGAGGCAGCAGUGGGGAAUAUUGCACAAUGGGUGGAAGCCUGAUGCAGCAACGCCGUGUGCGGGAUGACGGCCUUCGGGUUGUAAACCGCUUUCGCUCAUGACGAAGCUUUGUGUGACGGUAGUGGGUAAAGAAGCACCGGCUAACUACGUGCCAGCCGCCGCCGUAACAC